GUCAGUACCUUCAUGAUCUGCACAGCUUUGAUCCAGCCACACAGAAGUUUUUUCAGUUGCUCAUUAUAAAAGCAAUGAUGGUAAAUUCUGGAGGUUAAGAACACAAUUAAUUCCAUGUAUUGUGACUCAAAAGCAGCCAGAGUUUCAACAAGCCUUAGCAGUCAAAUGCUUAAUGGAUUUGAUGACCAAUACAACCAUGAUGCUGAUCCUAUAAGUGCAAGGUGGGACCAACAGGU
Molecule: long non-coding RNA, 236 nt
Organism: Passer domesticus (house sparrow)
Lineage: Eukaryota; Metazoa; Chordata; Aves; Passeriformes; Passeridae
Exons: 3
Source: RefSeq, a predicted model, not a curated record